Molecule: transfer RNA, 74 nt
Filed under: Marmota monax (woodchuck)
Lineage: Eukaryota; Metazoa; Chordata; Mammalia; Rodentia; Sciuridae
Rfam family: tRNA
About the family: Transfer RNA (tRNA) molecules are approximately 80 nucleotides in length.
Source: Rfam by way of RNAcentral
UUCGGUGUGGCUCAGUGGUGGUAGAGUCUGUACCUGGAAUGUGCAAGGCCCUGGUUUCAAUCCCAGUGCUGAAA